Molecule: ribosomal RNA, 505 nt
Filed under: uncultured Bradyrhizobium sp.
Lineage: Bacteria; Pseudomonadati; Pseudomonadota; Alphaproteobacteria; Hyphomicrobiales; Nitrobacteraceae
Description: bacterial SSU rRNA
Rfam family: Bacterial small subunit ribosomal RNA
Source: RNAcentral
CCUUCGCCAGCCCGCUCAGAACUCAAGGAAUUGACGGGGGCCCGCACAAGCGGUGGAGCAUGUGGUUUAAUUCGACGCAACGCGAAGAACCUUACCAGCCCUUGACAUCCCGGUCGCGGGUUCCAGAGACGGAAUCCUUCAGUUCGGCUGGACCGGAGACAGGUGCUGCAUGGCUGUCGUCAGCUCGUGUCGUGAGAUGUUGGGUUAAGUCCCGCAACGAGCGCAACCCCCGUCCUUAGUUGCUACCAUUUAGUUGAGCACUCUAAGGAGACUGCCGGUGAUAAGCCGCGAGGAAGGUGGGGAUGACGUCAAGUCCUCAUGGCCCUUACGGGCUGGGCUACACACGUGCUACAAUGGCGGUGACAAUGGGACGCUAAGGGGCAACCCUUCGCAAAUCUCAAAAAGCCGUCUCAGUUCGGAUUGGGCUCUGCAACUCGAGCCCAUGAAGUUGGAAUCGCUAGUAAUCGUGGAUCAGCAUGCCACGGUGAAUACGUUCCCGGGCCUU